CCUCGAGCUACGUUUCACGUACAUGUACAAAAAUCGGUACACACAUGUAACACACCAAUACCUACAAAAAAGUCUCUUGGUACGAAAUUCGAAUCCCAACAGGAAGUCAGUUAUUUUGAAUUUUCUCUGCAAAAUUUGUGUCGUUUUUGCCAUUUUCAGGGGUUGUACUUUAACGAACUCCUCCUAGAGAUUUAUUCAGAUCAACACCAAACUUUGACUGUGUAAUCUAAAGGCCUUUGCGAUGUUAAAUUGCGAAGAUCUUGAGGUUUCGUUUAAGGGCGUGUCUGUGGCGGCCUUACAAAUUUCGAUGUUUCGCCAUGAGAAAGGAAGUUGCUAUAACUCAGACAUACAAUGUCCAAUCUGCCCCAAACUUCACAUGUUUGAGAAGACUCCUGACCUGAAUAUAUCUACAUGCCAAUAUUCAGAUAUCGCUAUAGGGCCACCUGCUGGCAACAGGAAGUGACAUGUUUUACGCCGUAACAAACUACUCCUAGAUAUUUUAUGACAUUUUAUAAUUUUUUUUGGUCAGUCUAAUCUAAAGGCCUUUGCGAUGUUAAAUUGUGAACAUCUUGAGGUUUCAUUAAAGGGUGUGGCCAUGGCGCCGUGACAAAGUUUGAUGUCUCGCCAUGGGAAUAGAAGUUGUUGUAACUCAGGCAUAAGAUGUCCGAUCUUCCCCAAACUUCACAUGUUCGAAAAGAGUCUUGGCCUGAACACAUCUGAAGGUCAUUAUUCCACUAUAAUCAUAGCGCCACCUGCUGACAACAGAAAAUGGCUUGUUUUACACUAACUUAAACAUGCAAUGUCCAAUCUGCACCAAACUUCAAAUAUUUGAUAAGAGUCAUGGCCUGAAGAUAUCUAAAGGCCAAUGUUGAGUUAUAAUCAUAGCGCCACCUGUUGGCAAUAGGACACAACAUGCUUUAUACUAACUCAAACAUUCCAUGUUCAAUCUGCACUAAAUUUCAUAUGCUUGAUAAAAGUGCUGGACUGAAGAAAUCUACAUGACAAAAUCCAGUUAUAGUCAUAGAGCCACCAGCUGGCAGCAGGAAGAUUGGCACAUAUAAAUGACUUUGACAUAUUCCUCUAAUAUUUACCACAUUAAACGCAUAUUUCUCGCCGUUCGCUGUUUUACAAAAGCCACCCGGUGGUGGUGAGCCCGGGUGCGAGGGCCCGUUCAUCGCUGCUUGCAGCUUUAAUUAGGGCCCGAGCACCGAUGGUGUGAGGACCCUCUUGUAUCUGCUUUGUUUAUUAUUAUUCUUCUUCUUCUUCUUCUUCUUCUUCUUCUUCUUCUCCAAAAUGAAUCGCAUUUUUGAGGGCCUAAACAUGCUCGAAAAGUCCUGAAACUUUGCACACACGUCAGACCUGGUGAAAAUUUACGUCUGAUAUAGGUUUCAGAAGAGGGUGUGGCAAAAUGGCUCGACAGCGCCACCUAUCGUAAAAAAAUCAACAGCCCUCGAGCUGUGUUUCACGUACAUGCACGAAAAUUGGCACACAUAUGUAAAGCAUCAGUACCUACAAAAAAGACUCUUGGAGCAAUAUCCGAAACCCAACAGGAAGUCGGUUAUUUUAAAUUUUAUGAGCAAAUUUUGCAUCAUUUUUGUCAUUUCCAUGCCUUGUAUUUUAACG
This is a long non-coding RNA of Cyprinus carpio carpio, 1623 nucleotides long. Lineage: Eukaryota; Metazoa; Chordata; Actinopteri; Cypriniformes; Cyprinidae. The record is from Ensembl.